UUAAAUUGAAGAGUUUGAUCAUGGCUCAGAUUGAACGCUGGCGGCAGGCCUAACACAUGCAAGUCGAACGGUAACAGGAAGCAGCUUGCUGCUUUGCUGACGAGUGGCGGACGGGUGAGUAAUGUCUGGGAAACUGCCUGAUGGAGGGGGAUAACUACUGGAAACGGUGGCUAAUACCGCAUAACGUCGCAAGACCAAAGAGGGGGACCUUCGGGCCUCUUGCCAUCAGAUGUGCCCAGAUGGGAUUAGCUAGUUGGUGAGGUAACGGCUCACCAAGGCGACGAUCCCUAGCUGGUCUGAGAGGAUGACCAGCCACACUGGAACUGAGACACGGUCCAGACUCCUACGGGAGGCAGCAGUGGGGAAUAUUGCACAAUGGGCGCAAGCCUGAUGCAGCCAUGCCGCGUGUAUGAAGAAGGCCUUCGGGUUGUAAAGUACUUUCAGCGGGGAGGAAGGUGUUGUGGUUAAUAACCGCAGCAAUUGACGUUACCCGCAGAAGAAGCACCGGCUAACUCCGUGCCAGCAGCCGCGGUAAUACGGAGGGUGCAAGCGUUAAUCGGAAUUACUGGGCGUAAAGCGCACGCAGGCGGUCUGUCAAGUCGGAUGUGAAAUCCCCGGGCUCAACCUGGGAACUGCAUUCGAAACUGGCAGGCUUGAGUCUUGUAGAGGGGGGUAGAAUUCCAGGUGUAGCGGUGAAAUGCGUAGAGAUCUGGAGGAAUACCGGUGGCGAAGGCGGCCCCCUGGACAAAGACUGACGCUCAGGUGCGAAAGCGUGGGGAGCAAACAGGAUUAGAUACCCUGGUAGUCCACGCCGUAAACGAUGUCUACUUGGAGGUUGUGCCCUUGAGGCGUGGCUUCCGGAGCUAACGCGUUAAGUAGACCGCCUGGGGAGUACGGCCGCAAGGUUAAAACUCAAAUGAAUUGACGGGGGCCCGCACAAGCGGUGGAGCAUGUGGUUUAAUUCGAUGCAACGCGAAGAACCUUACCUGGUCUUGACAUCCACGGAAGUUUUCAGAGAUGAGAAUGUGCCUUCGGGAACCGUGAGACAGGUGCUGCAUGGCUGUCGUCAGCUCGUGUUGUGAAAUGUUGGGUUAAGUCCCGCAACGAGCGCAACCCUUAUCCUUUGUUGCCAGCGGUCCGGCCGGGAACUCAAAGGAGACUGCCAGUGAUAAACUGGAGGAAGGUGGGGAUGACGUCAAGUCAUCAUGGCCCUUACGACCAGGGCUACACACGUGCUACAAUGGCGCAUACAAAGAGAAGCGACCUCGCGAGAGCAAGCGGACCUCAUAAAGUGCGUCGUAGUCCGGAUUGGAGUCUGCAACUCGACUCCAUGAAGUCGGAAUCGCUAGUAAUCGUGGAUCAGAAUGCCACGGUGAAUACGUUCCCGGGCCUUGUACACACCGCCCGUCACACCAUGGGAGUGGGUUGCAAAAGAAGUAGGUAGCUUAACCUUCGGGAGGGCGCUUACCACUUUGUGAUUCAUGACUGGGGUGAAGUCGUAACAAGGUAACCGUAGGGGAACCUGCGGUUGGAUCACCUCCUUACCUUAAAGAA
RNAcentral lists this ribosomal RNA (1554 nucleotides) under Salmonella enterica subsp. enterica serovar Anatum str. USDA-ARS-USMARC-1783. Its description in RNAcentral is "bacterial SSU rRNA". It matches the Rfam family "Bacterial small subunit ribosomal RNA". The record is from RNAcentral. RNAcentral also lists the same sequence under 9 other names. Lineage: Bacteria; Pseudomonadati; Pseudomonadota; Gammaproteobacteria; Enterobacterales; Enterobacteriaceae.